UAACAGAUAUCUACCUAUUCUAUCUAUAUAGAUAGAAUAGGUAGAUAGAAUAGGUAGAUAGAAUAGGUAGAU
RNAcentral lists this transfer RNA (72 nucleotides) under Pinus monophylla. Its description in RNAcentral is "tRNA-Gly". Lineage: Eukaryota; Viridiplantae; Streptophyta; Pinopsida; Pinales; Pinaceae. The record is from RNAcentral.